This is a long non-coding RNA of Lolium rigidum, 289 nucleotides long. RefSeq lists it as uncharacterized. Lineage: Eukaryota; Viridiplantae; Streptophyta; Magnoliopsida; Poales; Poaceae. The transcript has 3 exons. The record is from RefSeq and is a predicted model, not a curated record.
CACACAUGAAGUCUUAGGGACCGAAACUUCAUCGACGGAGUUUGGUGCAAGAAGAUGUACAUCCAACACUGUUGGAUAGUAACGAUGCCGAUCCCAUGCAAGAGGAUUUGCUGAAUGGAAUAUACCCACACAGCUGAUCUGGCCAUCACAUGGAAGUGUGGUCUUCUAUGACAACAUCAUUCAUGUCUUCCUCUGCUCUAGCCUUGACAUCGCGUGCAAGUACGAGGACAAUGAUGCACCAUUGUAGCCCACCACUUGUUGUUUGCACGGUCAUACACUGGCAGUGGCA